GCAAGUCGAACGGAGUAUGACGCUGAUGAGCGGAGAGCUUGCUCAAAGCAAAUCUGUUGAUACUUAGUGGCGGACGGGUGAGUAACGCGUGGGUAACCUGCCAUGUACAGGGGGAUAACACUUAGAAAUAGGUGCUAAUACCGCAUAAGCCUACAGGAUCGCAUGAUCCAGUAAGAAAAACUCCGGUGGUACAUGAUGGACCCGCGUCUGAUUAGCUAGUUGGUGAGGUAGUAGCUCACCAAGGCGACGAUCAGUAGCCGGCCUGAGAGGGUGAACGGCCACAUUGGGACUGAGACACGGCCCAAACUCCUACGGGAGGCAGCAGUGGGGAAUAUUGCACAAUGGGGGAAACCCUGAUGCCAGCGACGCCGCGUGAGUGAAGAAGUAUUUCGGUAUGUAAAGCUCUAUCAGCAGGGAAGAAAAUGACGGUACCUGACUAAGAAGCCCCGGCUAACUACGUGCCAGCCGCCGC
RNAcentral lists this ribosomal RNA (472 nucleotides) under uncultured bacterium. RNAcentral describes it as "bacterial SSU rRNA". It matches the Rfam family "Bacterial small subunit ribosomal RNA", at positions 57 to 518 of the family's 1533-position model. The record is from RNAcentral.